CCGGGGCAUCCCGGAGGCAGGAAAGGCUUCGGCCGGACAGGGAUGGGCAUGCGGCGCAUUAGGCAGUAGGCGGGGUAACGGCCCACCUAACCGACGAUGCGUAGGGGUUCUGAGAGGAAGGUCCCCCACACUGGUACUGAGACACGGACCAGACUCCUACGGGAGGCAGCAGUGAGGAAUAUUGGUCAAUGGUCGGGAGACUGAACCAGCCAAGCCGCGUGAGGGAUGAAGGUACAGAGUAUCGUAAACCUCUUUUGUCAGGGAACAAAGGCGGGGACGUGUCCCCGGAUGAGUGUACCUGAAGAAAAAGCAUCGGCUAACUCCGUGCCAGCAGCCGCGGUAAUACGGAGGAUGCGAGCGUUAUCCGGAUUUAUUGGGUUUAAAGGGUGCGCAGGCGGUCUGUUAAGUCAGCGGUCAAAGCCCGGGGCUCAACCCCGGCCCGCCGUUGAAACUGGCAGUCUCGAGUUGGAGAGAAGUAUGCGGAAUGCGCGGUGUAGCGGUGAAAUGCAUAGAUAUCGCGCAGAACUCCGAUUGCGAAGGCAGCAUGCCGGCUCCACACUGACGCUGAGGCACGAAAGCGUGGGUAUCGAACAGGAUUAGAUACCCUGGUAGUCCACGCAGUAAACGAUGAAUGAUGGCUGUCCGGG
RNAcentral lists this ribosomal RNA (647 nucleotides) under uncultured bacterium. RNAcentral describes it as "bacterial SSU rRNA". It matches the Rfam family "Bacterial small subunit ribosomal RNA", at positions 183 to 828 of the family's 1533-position model. The record is from RNAcentral.